CAGAAGCAGCGGUAAUACGGAGGAUGCGAGCGUUAUCCGGAUUUAUUGGGUUUAAAGGGUGCGUAGGCGGGCUGUUAAGUCAGCGGUCAAAUGUCGGGGCUCAACCCCGGCCUGCCGUUGAAACUGGCGGCCUCGAGUGGGCGAGAAGUAUGCGGAAUGCGUGGUGUAGCGGUGAAAUGCAUAGAUAUCACGCAGAACCCCGAUUGCGAAGGCAGCCUUCCGGCGCCCUACUGACGCUGAGGCACGAAAGUGCGGGGAUCGAACAG
This 266-nucleotide ribosomal RNA is filed under the name uncultured bacterium. RNAcentral describes it as "partial 16S ribosomal RNA". It matches the Rfam family "Bacterial small subunit ribosomal RNA", at positions 509 to 775 of the family's 1533-position model. The record is from RNAcentral.